This 1530-nucleotide ribosomal RNA is filed under the name Escherichia coli. RNAcentral describes it as "bacterial SSU rRNA". It matches the Rfam family "Bacterial small subunit ribosomal RNA". Lineage: Bacteria; Pseudomonadati; Pseudomonadota; Gammaproteobacteria; Enterobacterales; Enterobacteriaceae. The record is from RNAcentral.
AGAGUUUGAUCAUGGCUCAGAUUGAACGCUGGCGGCAGGCCUAACACAUGCAAGUCGAACGGUAACAGAAAGCAGCUUGCUGCUUUGCUGACGAGUGGCGGACGGGUGAGUAAUGUCUGGGAAACUGCCUGAUGGAGGGGGAUAACUACUGGAAACGGUAGCUAAUACCGCAUAACGUCGCAAGACCAAAGAGGGGGACCUUCGGGCCUCUUGCCAUCGGAUGUGCCCAGAUGGGAUUAGCUUGUUGGUGGGGUAACGGCUCACCAAGGCGACGAUCCCUAGCUGGUCUGAGAGGAUGACCAGCCACACUGGAACUGAGACACGGUCCAGACUCCUACGGGAGGCAGCAGUGGGGAAUAUUGCACAAUGGGCGCAAGCCUGAUGCAGCCAUGCCGCGUGUAUGAAGAAGGCCUUCGGGUUGUAAAGUACUUUCAGCGGGGAGGAAGGGAGUAAAGUUAAUACCUUUGCUCAUUGACGUUACCCGCAGAAGAAGCACCGGCUAACUCCGUGCCAGCAGCCGCGGUAAUACGGAGGGUGCAAGCGUUAAUCGGAAUUACUGGGCGUAAAGCGCACGCAGGUGGUUUGUUAAGUCAGAUGUGAAAUCCCCGGGCUCAACCUGGGAACUGCAUCUGAUACUGGCAAGCUUGAGUCUCGUAGAGGGGGGUAGAAUUCCAGGUGUAGCGGUGAAAUGCGUAGAGAUCUGGAGGAAUACCGGUGGCGAAGGCGGCCCCCUGGACGAAGACUGACGCUCAGGUGCGAAAGCGUGGGGAGCAAACAGGAUUAGAUACCCUGGUAGUCCACGCCGUAAACGAUGUCGACUUGGAGGUUGUGCCCUUGAGGCGUGGCUUCCGGAGCUAACGCGUUAAGUCGACCGCCUGGGGAGUACGGCCGCAAGGUUAAAACUCAAAUGAAUUGACGGGGGCCCGCACAAGCGGUGGAGCAUGUGGUUUAAUUCGAUGCAACGCGAAGAACCUUACCUGGUCUUGACAUCCACGGAAGUUUUCAGAGAUGAGAAUGUGCCUUCGGGAACCGUGAGACAGGUGCUGCAUGGCUGUCGUCAGCUCGUGUUGUGAAAUGUUGGGUUAAGUCCCGCAACGAGCGCAACCCUUAUCCUUUGUUGCCAGCGGUCCGGCCGGGAACUCAAAGGAGACUGCCAGUGAUAAACUGGAGGAAGGUGGGGAUGACGUCAAGUCAUCAUGGCCCUUACGACCAGGGCUACACACGUGCUACAAUGGCGCAUACAAAGAGAAGCGACCUCGCGAGAGCAAGCGGACCUCAUAAAGUGCGUCGUAGUCCGGAUUGGAGUCUGCAACUCGACUCCAUGAAGUCGGAAUCGCUAGUAAUCGUGGAUCAGAAUGCCACGGUGAAUACGUUCCCGGGCCUUGUACACACCGCCCGUCACACCAUGGGAGUGGGUUGCAAAAGAAGUAGGUAGCUUAACCUUCGGGAGGGCGCUUACCACUUUGUGAUUCAUGACUGGGGUGAAGUCGUAACAAGGUAACCGUAGGGGAACCUGCGGUUGGAUCACCU